GACGAACGCUGGCGGCGUGCCUAAUACAUGCAAGUAGAACGCUGAAGAGAGGAGCUUGCUCUUCUUGGAUGAGUUGCGCACGGGUGAGUAACGCGUAGGUAACCUGCCUUGUAGCGGGGGAUAACUAUUGGAAACGAUAGCUAAUACCGCAUAACAAUGUAUGACACAUGUCAUUUAUUUGAAAGGGGCAAUUGCUCCACUACAAGAUGGACCUGCGUUGUAUUAGCUAGUAGGUGAGGUAACGGCUCACCUAGGCGACGAUACAUAGCCGACCUGAGAGGGUGAGUAGCCGCCCUGGGACGGUGACAGGGCCCAGAGGCCUUGGGGAGGGAGCAGGAGGGAAACGUCGGGAAUGGGGGCAAAACUGAGCGAGAUACGCCGCGGGAGGAUAGAAGGGUGUCGGGUCGGAAAGCUCGGUUGUAAGGCUAGAACGAGUGUGAGAGUGGAAAGUUCACACUGUGACGGUAGCUUACCAGAAAGCGACGGCUAACUACGUG
Molecule: ribosomal RNA, 497 nt
Filed under: uncultured bacterium
Lineage: Bacteria
Description: partial 16S ribosomal RNA
Rfam family: Bacterial small subunit ribosomal RNA
Source: RNAcentral